Molecule: long non-coding RNA, 726 nt
Filed under: Homo sapiens (human)
Lineage: Eukaryota; Metazoa; Chordata; Mammalia; Primates; Hominidae
Description: non-protein coding lnc-FSHR-4:1
Source: RNAcentral
GGAACGGGCUGGACAGUUGAUCCUUCCUUAGCAGGAAACUACUCCCACCCAGGAGCCUCUGUAGACCUGACCAUUUUCUCCCUGCAUCUAGCAGGUAUCUCCUCCAUUCUAGGGGCUAUUAACUUCAUUGUGACAAUUAUUAACAUAAACCCCCUGCCAUAUCUCAAUACCAAACACCCCUCUUUGUCUGAUCCGUCCUAAUCACAGCAGUCCUACUCCUCCUCUCCCUUCCAGUCCUGGCCGCUGGCAUUACUAUAUUAUUAACAGACCACAACCUUGAUACCACCUUCUUUGAUCCAGUCGGAGGGGGAGACCCUAUCCUGUACCAACACCUAUUUUGAUUCUUCGGUCACCCCAAAGUCUAUAUUCUCAUCCUACCGGGCUUCGGGAUAAUUUCCCAUAUCGUAACAUACUAUUCUGGAAAAAAAGAACCAUUCGGGUAUAUGGGCAUAGUCUGAGCUAUGAAAUCAAUUGGUUUCCUAGGAUUUAUUGUAUGAGCUCAUCAUAUAUUCACAGUAGGGAUAGACGUGGAUACACGAGCCUACUUCACCUCCGCUACUAUAAUUAUCGCCAUUUCCACUGGCGUCAAAGUAUUUAGUUGACUUGCUACGCUUCACAGAAGUAACAUCAAAUGAUCUGCCGCGGUACUCUGAGCCGUAGGGUUCAUCUUCCUCUUCACUGUGGGUAGUCUAACCGGCAUUGUACUAGCAAACUCAUCAUUAGAUA